Molecule: long non-coding RNA, 772 nt
Organism: Alligator sinensis (Chinese alligator)
Lineage: Eukaryota; Metazoa; Chordata; Crocodylia; Alligatoridae
Exons: 6
Source: RefSeq, a predicted model, not a curated record
CUUGAGUUAAACUCCAGGGAGCGGCACCAAGGGAAGCAGAGGGGGGCAGGGACAGCAGUACCAGUACUAAGGAGGCUUCCACCUUGCAGUUAUGAUCAAGUAGUUUAAUAUGGGUUGAUGGAACACGUUCAUAUACAGAGACAAAAUCAUUGUCAAGGAACUCCUAGAAUCUUUGCUGGGGAAGAAAGAGGCAGAACAUCAGGGGAAAAUUGGAUCAGUUUGAUGACCAGGCCACAGAGUGAUGCACACGAUUCCAUUUCCCAAAGGAAGGGAGAAAGACCCAGCCACCCAGCAAGCACUGCAGAGCUAGUAGACCUCCCUGAGAUGAAGAACUGCUGAUAUCACUCCCUUCCUUAUCAGAUCAGACACCCUCUUGGGUGUCCAGAAGGAGGAAGAAAGUCCUGGUUACUCUGCAGAUGCAAUAAAGGCAACCGCCCUCCCUGGUAUGGAACAGAAACAAAUUCUGAAACUUCUAAAGUCGCUAUGCAAUUCUUAUCAUCCCAUCAACCCCUGAGCUUACUCAUAUCUUACUUCACCAUAGUAGCCUGGGCUACUAGUCUCACACCUCAUGAGAUCAUCAUGCACUUAAAAUGGAAAAGAGCAGUAGGAAGAAACCUUUUGAACAUACUUCCACUAUGAGUAAAAAGAUGUCUCUUUCAUCCUGAGGAAAAAAAUUCUGUGGAUGCUUCGAAGUGACCUAUGGCUAACAACCACUGAAAGAGUUCAGUUGUCAAUAUGUAGCAGAGGAACGAUGUAACUUUUUCAUAUUUUC